UCCAGAGGGUCGGCGGAAAAGAUAGCUUGACGUUGAAGAUAGGAUUACAGCCGUAGAUCAUUUCCACCGCCUCAAUUUGAUGGUUCGAUUCUCUCACUCGCAUCAAAUCUCACCUAUAAAUACCUAUUAACUCAAACCCAAUUACUGCAAUAAUUUUUGCAGGCGGGUCGACUUCUGGACGGAUGUUUCUGAUAUUUCUUCGGCAGGGCUCGAUCGGAUGAUAAAUGGUUCAGGUCCUACGAUGGCUGUAUGGAGAAAAUUAAAAUUUCCGUUCUAUUAUUCAGUCUUUCCGAGUUUUGUUACGAUUUAGGUUUUAGGGUUUGAUGCCUGUUUUUCUGUAGUUUAUUCUGAUCAACAGAAAUAUAUUCUGGACCUAAACUUUUGUCUGGUCCCGUCAACAAUGAUUUUUAAGCUUCUCACCGAGGUCAGGCAGACCAUGUGUUUCUACGCCUCAUGCCUUUCCAAUUCAUAACUAUGGUGAAUUUUUUGAUUGCAAUAUAAUGAAUAUUGACCGGAGUUAACAGAUCAUAUACGGAGGAGGGACGACAUCUAGCCUGAUUUCCCCCUAUUUAAUCAAGAACGUGGGGGCAUUAUUUAUUUCUCUGAUAUAAUUGUGCUGGUGUAUCACGUUUUUUUUAUGUGUAGGCCAACUGAGUGGAAAAUUAGGUGUGUCAAAUGAGGACAUGGAUAAAUCUUAAGAAAGUACACUACGAUCUAAAUUUCUUCCUCGGCCUCGGUUUUUAUGCAACUGUCGUUUUUGCUGUUUGUUAGUGUGUUGUUGGUUUUUAUUUUCCCUUAGUCUCUCUUUAAGAAAGAUUUUAGUCUUAUCUUCCAUAACCAAGGGUUUGUUGGGUUUAUGCUACGGAGGGGUUAGUCUGACCAGCUGCAGGGAAAGUGAUGCUCAAUUUAUUUUGAUCGUAGAUGAGGCGAUGAAAGACAACUAAAGUCCUGUUGGGGGAUAGUCCACCGGUAGAUGAGGUGAUGUUCAUCGGAAGGAGUAGCAAGCCAGAAUUGAGAGGUUUUAGAUGCUUCGAAUUUGAGUACCAUCUCUCCUUCGAUCUCUCUUUUUCUCCACUAUAUCCUAGCCGAUUUGCAGAGAUCAUUUAUUGCAGGGUAAUAAGGUAGAUUGAAUGGAACUAAAAUUAGUAUAUGGUUAUGGUUUAUGGUAUCUUAAGGGUUUCACUAUAAUCAUUGGUGUGGUGCAAUCUGGGUCGUGAGUUUGGCAGAUUGACCGUGAUUUUAUUUUCUGGCAUUGAUGGUUUAACCACGUCAUUUGAAGCAUUGUAAAAAAUAAUUUGAAAUAUUAAUUUUUAAAGCUUUUACGAAAAGGCGUCUUAAGGGUUUUGUGUCAACAUAGUCCUUGAGCGAAAACAUUGAUGGCCGUGGAGGAAUCAUCCUUGGUAAUCUGUAAGUAACUUCUUGUUGGCAUAAGUUUUUUUUGCAAUUUAAUUUGCUCCUACAAUUGGGUUAAGAAAGGAUUAAAACAGUUUUAUGGGGGAACAUUCCGAAGGUAACUAUGGUACAGUAUGCGAAGAAACUUUAUUGGUUUGUGCCUCAGAAUGGAGGAGGUUUGUGUGUAUCUUAAUAGUGGAUGUCUAUUUCAUUACAUGCGAGGUUUUUUUGAAAUGCUAAUCGGUUAUAGCAAAUUCACCUUUAUUUAUCAUUUGCAUUUACUUUUUAAGCUAGUAUGUUGUCGUUUAUCUUCGGCAGGUAGUUCGGAACAGUAGAAAUCAGGGAUUGAGGAAACGGUGGUGUGCUAUUUAUUAGUUAUUACCAAUUACCAAUUACCAUCAAGUAAAUUAGAGUUUCGUAAGUAAAUUUUUUCCAGUUCAUUUUGUUGAGAGGUAUUAACUUUGUGGAUAUCUGAGGACUCAAAUCUGUCGUCUUCCCUAGGUAAGAAAGAGUGCUCCAGUGCACAUGGAGUUCAGCUAUAGAAACAAACAGUUAAUUUUCGACUUUGUGUAUCUGUAUGGUGGAGGUUUGUGUGUAUCUGAAUGGUGGAUAUUUCCUUCAUUACAGGCAGGGAUCUUUGAAGCCCUAAUCGGUGUAACUAUAGUCACCAUUAUAUACCAUUUGCGUAUCUGAAUGGUGGAUGUCUACUUCAUUACAGGCAGGGAUCUUUGAAACCCUAAUCAGUGAUACUAUAGUUACCUUUACAUAUAAUUUGCAUUUAAUUUUAAGCUAGGAUGUAGUCGUUUAUCUUCGGCAGGUAAUUACAAGCAGUGGAAAUCAGAGACUGCGGAACAGAGUUGUACGCUUGAUCGCCGAUUAUUACCAAGUAAAUCAAAGUCUGCGUAUCUGAAUGGUGGAUGUCUACUUCAUUGCAGGCAGGGAUCUUUGAAACCCUAACCAGUGAUACUAUAGUCACCUAUACAUAUAAUUUGCAUUUACUUUUAAGCUAGGACGUAGUCGUUUAUCUUCGGCAGGUAAUUACAAGCAGUGGAAAUCAGAGACUGCGAAACAGAGUUGUGCGCUUGAUCGCCGAUUAUUAACAAGUAAAUCAAAGUUUGUGUAAGUAAAAUGUUGGCUGUCUACUUCGCUACAAACCCUAAUCGGUGGUACCAUAGCCACCUUUAUAUAUCAUUUGUGUAUCUGAAUGGUGGAUGUCUACUUCAUUACAGGCAGGGAUCUUUGUAAUCCUAUUCAGUGGUACCAUAGUCACCUUUAUAUGUCAUUUGCAUUUACUUUUAAGCUAGGGUGUAGUCGUUUAUCUUGGGCAGGUAAUUCCAAGCAGUUGAAAUCAGAGACUGCCGAACAGAGUUGGGCGCUUGAUCGCAGAUUACCAUGUAAGUCAAAGUUUUGCAAGUAAAAUGGUGGAUGUCUAAUUCACUACAGGAAGGAUCUUUGAAACCCUAAUUGGUUGUACCAUAGUCACCUUUUAUAUAUCAUUUGUAUUUACUUUCAAGCUAGGAUGUAGUCGUUUAUCUUCGGCAUGUGGUUCCGAACAGUGGAAAUCAGAGACUGAGGAACAGAGUUGUGCGCUUGAUCGCCGAUUAUUACCAAGUAAAUAAAAGUUUCGUAAGUAAAAUGUUGGAUGUCUACUUCACUACAAACCCUAAUCGGUGGUACCAUAGCCACCUUUAUAUAUGAUUUGUGUAUCUGAAUGGUGGAUGUCUACUUCAUUACAGGCAGGGAUCUUUGUAACCCUAAUCAGUGGUACCAUAGUCACCUUUAUAUGUCAUUUGCAUUUACUUUUAAGCUAGGGUGUAGUCGUUUAUCUUGGGCAGGUAAUUCCAAGCAGUUGAAAUCAGAGACUGCCGAACAGAGUUGUGCGCUUGAUCGCCGAUUACCAUGUAAGUCAAAAGUUUUGCAAGUAAAAUGGUGGAUGUCUACUUCACUACAGGAAGGCAUCUUUGAAACCCUAAUUGGUUGCACCAUAGUCACCUUUUAUAUAUCAUUUGUAUUUACUUUCGGGCUAGGAUGUAGUCGUUUGUCUUCCGCAGGUAGUUCCGAACAGUGGAAAUCAGAGACUGCGGAACAGAGUUGUGCGCUUGAUCGCCGAUUAUUACCCAAGUAAAUCAAAGUUUUGUAAGUAAAAUGUUGGAUGUCUACUUCACGACAAACCCUAAUCGUUGGUACCAUAGUCACCUUUAUAUAUCAUUUGUCUAUCUGAAUGGUUUUUGUCUACUUCAUUACAGGCAGGGAUCUAUGUAACCCUAAUCAGUGGUACCAUAGUCACCUUUAUAUGUCAUUUGCAUUUACUUUUAAGCUAGGGUGUAGUCGUUUAUCUUCGGCAGGUAAUUCCAAGCAGUGGAAAUCAGAGACUGCGGAACAGAGUUGUGCGCUUGCUCGCCGAUUACCUUGUAAGUCAAAGUUUUUUUAGUAAAAUGGUGGAUGUCUACUUUCACUACAGGAAGGCAUCAAUGAAACUCUAAUUGGUUGUACCAUAGUCACCUUUAUAGAUCAUUUUUAUUACUUUCAAGCUAGGAUUUUGUCGUUUAUCUUCGGCAGGUAGUUCCGAACAGUGGAAAUUAGAGACUGAGGAACAGAGUUGUGCGCUUGAUCGCUGAUUACAAUUAAGUAAAUCAAAGUUUUGUUGUAAGUAAGUUGUUGGAUGUCUACUUCAUUACAGGAAGGGAUAUUUGAAACCCUAAUCGGUUGUACCAGGUAGAUCCGAACAUUGAAAAUCAGAGACUGACGAACAGAUUUGUGUGCUUGAUCGCCGAUUACCACCAAGUAAAUUAAAGUUUUGUAAUUAGAUUCGUUUCGGUUUAUUUCAUCAUGAGGUUUAGGACUCAAACCUGUUGUCUUCCUCAGGUAACAGACUCUGGAAUUUUGUUAGUAGGAGGUCUAUUUUAUUUACGUUAUUUUAAAUUGAGUGCUGGGCUUUUAAUUAGUUAGCAUUCAACUUAUAUGGACUAAAGUUAAUGCAGUGAAGUAACGGGAUUUGGCUGCACGGUACCUUGUAUCUCUCACAGCCUAACAAACAAUUUUAAUUAAAGUGGAUAUACUUGUUCUAUACUUGUUCCCCUCAUCUGUUCUCGAGGUAAUUAAACGCUUUUGACUGGUUCAGGGCCUUUUUUUUAUUGAGAGGUGGGAACUGAGAACAAGCUGUUGUAUGUUGUAACGAUCGAUGUUUCUCUCCCUAUUAAAACAUCUCGUUCUUCUUCUGAUGAAUAUUCCUCCUUGAUAUUAUGGUUGUAACAGCACUUCAUCCAAAGGGGGAAUAUUAAGGUAAUGAUUAAUAUAAUACUUAAAUCACUUUUCCGUCAAAGCGAAAGAUAAUGUUUGCUUGAAAGGAAGAGUUAAAGACUCGAUUUUCCUGUGGUUUUGAAUUAUAUAGAUAAUGUUCUCUUGCAUUGAAUGGUGUAAGUUUUAAUUUGAUUAAGGAUGAAUCUAUUCUUUUAUUUUUGGGUUAAAUAGGUAUAUUACAGGGAAGAGAGUGCCCACAGUGGACAUGGAUUUGGUGUUUUAAGCUAUAAAACAUUUCAACUUCUAGUUUUGGAUGGAGGAUAAGAACUUCUUAACUAACUCAUUUGAAUUCUGUGGUUUUGAAUUAUAUAGAUAAUGUUCUCUCUUGCAUUGAAUGGUGUAAGUUUUAAUUUGAUAAAGGAUGAAUCUAUUCUAUUAUUUUUGGGUUAAAUAGGUAUAUUACAGGGAAGAGAGUGCCCACAGUGGACAUGGAUUUGGUCUUUUAAGCUAUAAAACAAUUCAACUUCUAGUUUUGUAUGGAGGACAAGAACUUCUUAACUCACUUAUUUGAAUUCAAAGUUCUCUACAAUUAGUUAAUAAAAGAAUUCAUUUUAUCUUUAGUUUUGUUAGAAUUGUCAUUGUUUACAGAAAACAUUGUUCUGUCUAUUCAUGGAAGAGCGCGUCCAUAGUAGAGACAUGGAUUUGGUGUUUCAAGUUAAAAACAAUGCAACAUCUAGUUUUGGUAAACAAUGCAACAUCUAGUUUUGGAAGGAGGAUAAGAACUUAACUCCAUGAUUUGUAUUCAAAGCUAUCUCUGCAAUUAUUUUUCUUUGUUUUGUUCUCUUGCGUUGAACGGUUUGAAAUAAAGGAUGGAUCAUUUCUUCCUUAUUUGGGUCAAUAGGUAUGGAAGAGGGUGCCCACAGUGGACAUGGAUUUGGUGUUUCAAGCUAUAAAACAAUGCAACUUCUAGUUUUGGGAGGACGAUAAGAACUUCUUAUCUGCCUGAUUUGAAUUCAAAGUUGUCCCCGCAAUUAGUUUAAAGAAUUAAUAUGAUCGUAGUUUUUUUAGAAUUUUGUUAUUGUUUACAAAAAACAAUGUUUUCUGGCUAUACAGAUGGUGAGUUAGUAGCCAACUUAAACGUGGCGUUGGACAGUCUCGUUGUAUGAUCCGACCUAUGUUAUUACAGUGAAGUAACAGGAAUUAAGUGGUACAUUUUUUUAUUUCCUUGGUAGGAGUAAUAAUGCAAUGCAAUGUCUCAUCUCUUACAACGUCUAUUUCCUUUUCUUUACUCACUUUUUUAUACAUAAGAUGAACAUAUUAGUUUGAUAGUAUACAAACCGUUUUAUGGUUUUGUUGGAGUACCUGAUUGUCCAGAUUGAUUUCUGAAAGAAGGUUGAGGUAAUGAUUAAUCUGCUUAAAAUGUUUUUUUGUAUUUACUCUUAUGUUGAAGUGAAUGGAAGUCUUCAUGUAGCAGGGAAGGGUUAAGAAGUAGUUUAUUCUUUUACAAAAGGAGGGUAGUUUUGUAUUCUAUAUUGAUGGAAGGGUGUAAGUUGCAAUUUAAUGAGUUUCUCUUUCAGGAAUUUUGUUCUUAAUAGAGCUUAAUUCUGAUUUCGAGGGGGAGGGUAUCAUUUGUGUAAACCAGCGUAGAAUUUUCUUCCAUCUUAAACACAACGGCAAUUUGAAACAGAUGAGUUGGCAAGCCCAAGGUGGAUUAGUUGGCUUGGCUUUUCGUAUGGUGCGGAAUUGGCUAUAUGGCAGUAUGCUUUAUCAUUCAUUAUCAGGUUCAUUCUCCUGCGUUCUAAAGUAUUUAUGACAGUUUUCUCGAGCAGUGUCCAAUUUUGGCAGUAGGAUUGUCAAUUGCUCAUCUUGAAAUGAAUUCAGCGCCGUCUUUUGAAUAGCAUUGUGCCUUUGGAUUAUGCAAAACGAUGUAAUUUGUUUGUACAGAUGAGGAGUUGGCAAGCCCAGGGUGUCUUUAUGCUUGAUCAUUCAUUUUCAGACCUAUUCUGUUGAAUUCUAAAGGAUUUGUGACAGUUUUCUGAAAUUUUCUUUACUGAGAUGAGUUAGCAACCUCAUCUGGAAGUGCUAUAUAGUUGGUGUGAUGGGCUGUGUUUAUGCAAGACUAGUUCCGGUAGAGCUCAAUGGAUUUGCGAAUAUGUUAAUUUCUGAAUGUGGCCUUUUGUGAACAUAACUACUGAAAGGAUCAUUCAAUUUGUUUUA
Long non-coding RNA from Cryptomeria japonica (Japanese cedar), 6849 nucleotides. RefSeq lists it as uncharacterized. The record is from RefSeq and is a predicted model, not a curated record. The transcript is spliced from 2 exons. Lineage: Eukaryota; Viridiplantae; Streptophyta; Pinopsida; Cupressales; Cupressaceae.